UCUCUGGAGGACUAGGGGCUAGGCCUCGGCGCGCUCACUGCUGCAGCCCGGGUUCGAUUCCUGGCCAGGGAA
This is a non-coding RNA of Pangasianodon gigas (Mekong giant catfish), 72 nucleotides long. Lineage: Eukaryota; Metazoa; Chordata; Actinopteri; Siluriformes; Pangasiidae. The record is from the annotation of a GenBank genome assembly.